CCUACGGGCGGCAGCAGUGGGGAAUAUUGCACAAUGGGGGAAACCCUGAUGCAGCGACGCCGCGUGAGCGAAGAAGUAUUUCGGUACGUAAAGCUCUAUCAGCAGGGAAGAAAAUGACGGUACCUGACUAAGAAGCCCCGGCUAACUACGUGCCAGCAGCCGCGGUAAUACGUAGGGGGCAAGCGUUAUCCGGAUUUACUGGGUGUAAAGGGAGCGCAGACGGCAGGGCAAGUCUGGAGUGAAAACCCAGGGCUUAACCCUGGAACUGCUUUGGAAACUGGGCAGCUAGAGUGCAGGAGAGGUAAGCGGAAUUCCUAGUGUAGCGGUGAAAUGCGUAGAUAUUAGGAGGAACACCGGUGGCGAAGGCGGCUUACUGGACUGUGACUGACGUUGAGGCUCGAAAGCGUGGGGAGCAAACAGGAUUAGAUACCCGGGUAGUC
RNAcentral lists this ribosomal RNA (440 nucleotides) under uncultured bacterium. RNAcentral's name for it is "partial 16S ribosomal RNA". It matches the Rfam family "Bacterial small subunit ribosomal RNA", at positions 338 to 795 of the family's 1533-position model. The record is from RNAcentral.